RNAcentral lists this ribosomal RNA (558 nucleotides) under uncultured bacterium. RNAcentral describes it as "bacterial SSU rRNA". It matches the Rfam family "Bacterial small subunit ribosomal RNA", at positions 338 to 894 of the family's 1533-position model. The record is from RNAcentral.
CCUACGGGAGGCAGCAGUAGGGAAUCUUCGGCAAUGGACGAAAGUCUGACCGAGCAACGCCGCGUGAGUGAAGAAGGUUUUCGGAUCGUAAAACUCUGUUGUUAGAGAAGAACAAGUGGGAGAGUAACUGUUCCCACCUUGACGGUAUCUAACCAGAAAGCCACGGCUAACUACGUGCCAGCAGCCGCGGUAAUACGUAGGUGGCAAGCGUUGUCCGGAUUUAUUGGGCGUAAAGCGAGCGCAGGCGGUUUCUAAGUCUGAUGUGAAAGCCCUCGGCUCAACCGAGGAAGGUCAUUGGAAACUGGGGAACUUGAAUGCAGAAGAGGAGAGUGGAAUUCCAUGUGUAGCGGUGAAAUGCGUAGAUAUAUGGAGGAACACCAGUGGCGAAGGCGACUCUCUGGUCUGUAAUUGACGCUGAGGCUCGAAAGCGUGGGGAGCAAACAGGAUUAGAUACCCUGGUAGUCCACGCCGUAAACGAUGAGUGCUAAGUGUUGGAGGGUUUCCGCCUUCAGUGCUGCAGUUAACGCAUUAAGCAUCGCCUGGGAAUCGGCGCAAGGC